RNAcentral lists this ribosomal RNA (817 nucleotides) under uncultured Bacteroidota bacterium. RNAcentral's name for it is "bacterial SSU rRNA". It matches the Rfam family "Bacterial small subunit ribosomal RNA", at positions 69 to 884 of the family's 1533-position model. Lineage: Bacteria; Pseudomonadati; Bacteroidota. The record is from RNAcentral.
AUGGUCUUAGCUUGCUAAGACUGAUGGCGACCGGCGCACGGGUGCGUAACGCGUAUGCGACUUGCCUCACAGAGGGGGAUAACCCGUCGAAAGACGGACUAAUACCGCGUACACUCCACCUUGGGCAUCCAAGGAGGAGGAAAUGAGAUUCGCUGUGAGAUAGGCAUGCGUCCCAUUAGCUUGUUGGUGAGGUAACGGCUCACCAAGGCGACGAUGGGUAGGGGAACUGAGAGGUUGAACCCCCACACUGGUACUGAGACACGGACCAGACUCCUACGGGAGGCAGCAGUGAGGAAUAUUGGUCAACGGGCGAGAGCCUGAACCAGCCAAGUCGCGUGAAGGAUGACUGUCUUAUGGAUUGUAAACUUCUUUUAUACGGGAAUAACAAGAGCCACGUGUGGCUCCCUGCAUGUACCGUAUGAAUAAGCAUCGGCUAACUCCGUGCCAGCAGCCGCGGUAAUACGGAGGAUGCGAGCGUUAUCCGGAUUUAUUGGGUUUAAAGGGUGCGUAGGCGGCCUGUUAAGUCAGCGGUGAAAUCUAGGAGCUUAACUCCUAAAUUGCCAUUGAAACUGGCGGGCUUGAGUGUAGAUGAGGUAGGCGGAAUGCGUGGUGUAGCGGUGGAAUGCAUAGAUAUCACGCAGAACUCCAAUUGCGAAGGCAGCUUACUAAGGUACAACUGACGCUGAAGCACGAAAGCGUGGGUAUCAAACAGGAUUAGAUACCCUGGUAGUCCACGCAGUAAACGAUGAUAACUGGGCGUAUGCGAUAUACGGUAUGCUCCUAAGCGAAAGCGUUAAGUUAUCCACCUAGGAGUACG